AGCUAGUUCUACCCCCAAACCAAUCUGCAAUCAGAUGACAGUCGUCCUAGUUGAUGGAAGAACCCACAAGACUCAUCUGGAUCAACUGGACACUUCUGAUCAAGGACAAUUGUCAGAGGUGGCCGUUUUAGAUGGAAAUAAAACACUGUGGGGCAGAAGAAAUGAAUGGAGCCAAGUGGAACCUAGAGCUCCAACGGGGUGUCUACACUGGGACAGAGGACCCACCAAGCAUGGCCUCUUUCCUUUCACUUUCACUUGGACCCCUCUAGAAUCUGAAUUUCUGCCGCUCUCCUGUUGGCCCAAUAUACAGCUAUCAUCAAUUCCUGUGUAAAAGGGAACCACUCACUUCUUUGUGUUUCCACUUCAUGAAAAGCUGGACCAUCUAUGGCCACAAGCCUGGCCGUUGAGUUAGAAGAUGAAUUGAGAGGGCUGGAGAGAUGGCUCAGUGGUUAAGAGCACUGACUGCUCCUCCAGAGGUCCUGAGUUCAGUUCCCAGCAGCCACAUGAUGGCUCACAACCAUCUGUAAUCGGAUCUGAUGCCCUCUUCUGGGGUGUCUGAAGACAGCUACAGUGUACUUACGCAUAAUAAAUAAAUAAAUCUU
This 602-nucleotide long non-coding RNA is filed under the name Rattus norvegicus (Norway rat). RNAcentral's name for it is "long non-coding RNA NONRATT024522". Lineage: Eukaryota; Metazoa; Chordata; Mammalia; Rodentia; Muridae. The record is from RNAcentral.